Molecule: ribosomal RNA, 461 nt
Filed under: uncultured bacterium
Lineage: Bacteria
Description: bacterial SSU rRNA
Rfam family: Bacterial small subunit ribosomal RNA
Source: RNAcentral
AGGCAGCAGUGGGGAAUAUUGCACAAUGGGGGGAAACCCUGAUGCAGCCAUGCCGCGUGUGUGAAGAAGGCCUUCGGGUUGUAAAGCACUUUCAGUAGGGAGGAAGGUAGUGUAGUUAACACCUGCAUUAUUUUGACGUUACCUACAGAAGAAGCACCGGCCUAACUCCGUGCCAGCAGCCGCGGUAAUACGGAGGGUGCGAGCGUUUAAUCGGAAUUACUGGGCGUAAAAGCGCAUGCAGGCGGCCUGUUUAAGUCAGAUGUGAAAGCCCGGGGCUUAACCUCGGAAUUGCAUUUGAAACUGGCAGGCUAGAGUCUUGUAGAGGGGGUAGAAUUUCAGGUGUAGCGGUGAAAAUGCGUAGAGAUCUGAAGGAAUACCAGUGGCGAAGGCGGCCCCCUGGACAAAGACUGACGCUCAGAUGCGAAAGCGUGGGGAGCAAACAGGAUUAGAUACCCUGGUAA